AUACAAUCAGCUACAGGUUGAUCUUAAAAUUUGAUCUCGUGUGCCAAGGCUGUAAACAGCAGCCUGCCUUGUAGUGUUUGCAGCCCGCAGCUUGUUGCUUGUAUGGGUUGCUCUAAGGGUCCUUGGAGACAGCC
Molecule: small nucleolar RNA, 134 nt
Filed under: Carlito syrichta (Philippine tarsier)
Lineage: Eukaryota; Metazoa; Chordata; Mammalia; Primates; Tarsiidae
Description: Small nucleolar RNA SNORA70 (ENSTSYG00000024006.2)
Rfam family: Small nucleolar RNA SNORA70
About the family: snoRNA U70 seems to be exclusive to mammals and is a member of the H/ACA class of snoRNA which contain H (ANANNA) and ACA box motifs. H/ACA box snoRNAs are involved in the conversion of uridines to pseudouridines (5-ribosyluracil) a constituent of structural RNAs (transfer, ribosomal, small nuclear, and small nucleolar).
Source: Rfam by way of RNAcentral